Molecule: ribosomal RNA, 496 nt
Filed under: uncultured bacterium
Lineage: Bacteria
Description: partial 16S ribosomal RNA
Rfam family: Bacterial small subunit ribosomal RNA
Source: RNAcentral
GAUGAACGCUGGCGGCGUGCCUAAUACAUGCAAGUCGAGCGAACAGACGAGGAGCUUGCUCCUCUGACGUUAGCGGCGGACGGGUGAGUAACACGUGGAUAACCUACCUAUAAGACUGGGAUAACUUCGGGAAACCGGAGCUAAUACCGGAUAAUAUAUUGAACCGCAUGGUUCAAUAGUGAAAGACGGUUUUGCUGUCACUUAUAGAUGGAUCCGCGCCGCAUUAGCUAGUUGGUAAGGUAACGGCUUACCAAGGCAACGAUGCGUAGCCGACCUGAGAGGGUGAUCGGCCACACUGGAACUGAGACACGGUCCAGACUCCUACGGGAGGCAGCAGUAGGGAAUCUUCCGCAAUGGGCGAAAGCCUGACGGAGCAACGCCGCGUGAGUGAUUAAGGUCUUCGGAUCGUAAAACUCUGUUAUUAGGGAAGAACAAAUGUGUAAGUAACUAUGCACGUCUUGACGGUACCUAAUCAGAAAGCCACGGCUAACUACGU